RNAcentral lists this ribosomal RNA (459 nucleotides) under uncultured bacterium. RNAcentral describes it as "partial 16S ribosomal RNA". It matches the Rfam family "Bacterial small subunit ribosomal RNA", at positions 338 to 795 of the family's 1533-position model. The record is from RNAcentral.
CCUACGGGAGGCAGCAGUGAGGAAUAUUGGUCAAUGGCCGGAAGGCUGACCCAGCCAAGCCGCGUGAAGGACGAAGGUGCCAAGCAUUGUAAACUUCUUUUGUCAAGGGACAAAAUCAGGCUCGAGAGCCUGACCGAGGGUACUUGAAGAAAAAGCAUCGGCUAACUCCGUGACAGCAGCCGAGGUAAUACGGAGGAUGCGAGCGUUAUCCGGUUUUAUUGGGUUAAAAGGUGGCUGAGGAAGGCUGUUAAGUCAGCGGUAAAAGCACGGGGCUCAACCCCGGCGAGCCGUUGAAACUGGCGUUCGUGAGUGAGCGAGAAGUAUGCGGAAUGCGUGGUGUAGCGGUGAAAUGCAUAGAUAUCACGCAGAACUCCGAUUGCGAAGGCAGCAUACCGGCGCUCAACUGACGCUCAUGCACGAAAGCGUGGGUAUCGAACAGGAUUAGAUACCCCUGUAGUC